UAGGGAAUCUUCCGCAAUGGACGCAAGUCUGACGGAGCAACGCCGCGUGAGUGAAGAAGGAUUUCGGUUCGUAAAACUCUGUUGUUAGAGAAGAACAGCGCAUAGAGUAACUGUUAUGCGUGUGACGGUAUCUAACCAGAAAGCCACGGCUAACUACGUGCCAGCAGCCGCGGUAAUACGUAGGUGGCAAGCGUUGUCCGGAUUUAUUGGGCGUAAAGCGAGCGCAGGCGGUCAAUUAAGUCUGAUGUGAAAGCCCCCGGCUCAACCGGGGAAGGGCCUUGGAAACUGGUUGACUUGAGUGCAGAAGAGGAGAGUGGAAUUCCAUGUGUAGCGGUGAAAUGCGUAGAUAUAUGGAGGAACACCAGUGGCGAAGGAGACUCUCUGGUCUGUAACUGACGCUGAGGCUCGAAAGCGUGGGUAGCAAACAGG
RNAcentral lists this ribosomal RNA (429 nucleotides) under Bacteroidota bacterium. RNAcentral's name for it is "Bacteroidetes bacterium partial 16S ribosomal RNA". It matches the Rfam family "Bacterial small subunit ribosomal RNA", at positions 355 to 776 of the family's 1533-position model. The record is from RNAcentral. Lineage: Bacteria; Pseudomonadati; Bacteroidota.